UACGGGGGGGGCAAGCGUUGUUCGGAAUUACUGGGCGUAAAGGGCUCGUAGGCUGCCAACUAAGUCAGACGUGAAAUCCCUCGGCUUAACCGGGGAACUGCGUCUGAUACUGGAUGGCUUGAGAUUGGGAGAGGGAUGCGGAAUUCCAGGUGUAGCGGUGAAAUGCGUAGAUAUCUGGAGGAACACCGGUGGCGAAGGCGGCAUCCUGGACCGGCAUUGACGCUGAGGAGCGAAAGCCAGGGGAGCAAACGGG
RNAcentral lists this ribosomal RNA (253 nucleotides) under uncultured bacterium. RNAcentral's name for it is "partial 16S ribosomal RNA". It matches the Rfam family "Bacterial small subunit ribosomal RNA", at positions 524 to 776 of the family's 1533-position model. The record is from RNAcentral.